GAACGAUGAAACUUUACUGACUUCUUCGGAAAGAUUUAAAGCGGAUUAGUGGCGGACGGGUGAGUAACACGUGAGUAACCUGCCUUACACAAGGGGAUAGCCGUUGGAAACGACGAAUAAUACCCUAUGAAACUAUCACUUCGCAUGAAGCGAUAGUCAAAGUGUUAGCGGUGUAAGAUGGACUUGCGUCUGAUUAGCUAGUUGGUGAGAAAAAAGCCCACCAAGGCAACGAUCAGUAGCCGGCUUGAGAGAGUGUACGGCCACAUUGGGACUGAGACACGGCCCAGACUCCUACGGGAGGCAGCAGUGGGGAAUUUUGCACAAUGGGGGAAACCCUGAUGCAGCGACGCCGCGUGAUUUAGAAGGCCUUCGGGUUGUAAAAAUCUUUUGUAUAGGAAGAAAAUGACAGUACUAUACGAAUAAGGUCCGGCUAAUUACGUGCCAGCAGCCGCGGUAAUACGUAAGGACCGAGCGUUGUCCGGAAUCAUUGGGCGUAAAGGGUACGUAGGCGGGUCAUUAAGUUAGAAGCCAAAGGCUAUAGCUCAACUAUAGUAAGCUUCUAAAACUGGAGACCUUGAGUAAUGGAAGGGAAAGUGGAAUUCCUAGUGUAGCGGUGGAAUGCGCAGAUAUUAGGAGGAAUACCGGUGGCGAAGGCGACUUUCUGGCCAUUAACUGACGCUGAGGUACGAAAGCGUGGGUAGCAAACAGGAUUAG
This 714-nucleotide ribosomal RNA is filed under the name uncultured Eubacteriales bacterium. RNAcentral describes it as "bacterial SSU rRNA". It matches the Rfam family "Bacterial small subunit ribosomal RNA", at positions 64 to 781 of the family's 1533-position model. The record is from RNAcentral. Lineage: Bacteria; Bacillati; Bacillota; Clostridia; Eubacteriales.